Molecule: long non-coding RNA, 762 nt
Organism: Zonotrichia leucophrys gambelii
Lineage: Eukaryota; Metazoa; Chordata; Aves; Passeriformes; Passerellidae
Exons: 3
Source: RefSeq, a predicted model, not a curated record
CACAGCCCUGGGGUGGCACGCUGGGCUAUGGGACAGCUGCCAGUGCUGUGAGCCACAAAAUGAGUUUGUGUUGUUCAGCUCUGGCUCUAAACAUCAAGGAACCUGUCCUGCCCCAAGGUGUUUGCCUUCAAUCCAGGCUUUGGUGUCCCAGAUUUGCCCCACCUGGGGUAGGUGGAGACCAUGAGGGUUUUAUCCCAUCAUCCAGCAGAGAGACAUCAGUGAGAUUUUCCCACUAGUGCCAAGGACUGAAGCCAAACCCCACAGGGUGCUGUGAAAACCUCAAGUGGAAGCUAAAGCCUUACAUGAAGCAGAGGAUGGACAAAGCAAGAAGUCUUCUGAAAUAGUCAGGGGUGGAAAAACUAUGGGAUUGUUUGUAGGGCUGAAUUUCCAGCCUCAGCCUCGUGCUUCUGAAGCUGUUUCAGGCUGGACAACCUGAGGACGUUUGUGGGGAGGCAAAGGUGUGGGAACUGACAGGACAAAGGCAGUGGGAGAAAGGAAAAACCCGACAGCUCCCUGCAGCCAAGCCAGGUAGUCCAAAGUCUCCUGGAAAUGUGAGGAGGGUUCAUAAACCAGUGGUGACAGCGAGCUGCUCACACCAACAUCGCACAGAGAUUAACCCCGGAGUUACCACAGUGCCUUCAAAAUCCCACUCCUCCCACCCCUCAACUCUUUGGAUAUGGACGGGCUGCAAGUGCAUCAGCAGAAAUGAUGGAAAGCCAGGAGCCACUGCGUGCAGGGAAAGCCAAAUGUUUGAUGUCACUU